GUUAUCACUAUAACUUAGUCAUUUUUAAGGAUCUAAUAAUUUUUAAAGAUUUUAUUAAAGGAUAGAAGAGAAGAAAUUAACCAGCCAAUUUCAAUCCUCCCACUGACUUCACCAAGUCAGAUUAAAAAAGAUUUAAUUAAAGCCGGCAUUAGGAGCACCUAAAUCAGUCACACUGAUUUACCUAAUGACAUGGGUGAGUCCUAAUCACCAAGUGAUCUAAUCAAAAUCUAACUCACCAGGUUGGCCAGGUAAAAGAGAUCAGUGGUGAGGAUAUACCAUUAACUCGUCAG
Molecule: long non-coding RNA, 290 nt
Filed under: Elaeis guineensis (African oil palm)
Lineage: Eukaryota; Viridiplantae; Streptophyta; Magnoliopsida; Arecales; Arecaceae
Description: long non-coding RNA (EGUI_LNC001963)
Source: RNAcentral